GUAGCCCUCCCCUCUCCCACUCCCUCUCCCAUCCCGCCCUUCAUCGAGUUUCAUUUUCAAUUACCUUCAUAUACUGAAGAUCAACUUAGUAUACACUAAGCAAGGAUUUCAACAGGCUGCACUCACACAACCGCACAAGGUAUAGGGCAUUGUUCGACUAGUAGUGUUGUUUUUAAGUUUCAUAGUAGAACACAUUAAGGACAGAGAUCCUACGUGGGGAGCCUGUACUCAGUGACUCCCAUUGCUGAUUUAACAAUUGGCACUCUUAUUUAUGAUGUCAGCAAUCACCCGAGACUCUUGCUAUGAGCUGUCUAGGCUAUGGAAGCCCCUUGAGUUCACCGACUCUGAACUUGUUUAGUCAAGGCCAUAUCACAGUGGAGGUUCCUUCCUCCCUUCAGAGAAAGGCGCCUCUCUCCUUGAUGGCCUGUUCCUUCUGCUGGGGUCUUGUUCACCAGGAUCUUUCAUUUAGAUCAUUUUUUGCCACCGUGUCAUGGCUUUCCACGCCUUGAGACUCUCAUGGACUUUUUAGCCAGAUCCGAAUGUCCCAAGGGUUGAUUCUGAGGCAGGAGUGCUGUUUAGGGCAUUUGCCAUUCUAUGAGUCUGCUGUGUGUCCCGCUUCCCCCGCAGGAUCAUUCUCUCCCUUUUAAUUCUAUCCUUCAUUAUUUGCAGACACUGGUCUUAUUUGUGAAAUCUCAUCGACACAUACCCUAUCUUUUUGAUCGGUUGUGUAUUUAUACUUAUCACUUUACCAAGUGCGCUGGCAUUGGUACCUGCCUCCUUGGUAAGACUGAGCUGAAAUCCCCUGGCACAUUUCUAGUUCCACCAUUGGAGGUGAGUCCGAGUGAGCAUGUGCCAACCUACAUAUCUCCUCCUUGAGCAGAAGGGUGAUCUCCUGCUCACUGGUUUAGUCCCCAAAUGGCCACAGGAGCCAGGUCUGAGCCAGGCUGAAUCCAGGAGCCCGGAAGUCUGUCCCAGUCUCUCACGUGGGUGACAGGGCCCAGGUACUUGGGCCAAGUUCCACUACCUUCCUGGGUGCGUUAGCAGGGAGCUGGAUCAGAAGCAGAGUAGUGGGGCCGGCACUGUGGCAUAGUAGGCUCAGCCCCUGCCUGCAAAGCCAGCAUCCCAUAUGGGCGCUGAUUCGGGUCCCAGCUGUACUUCUUCCAGUCCAGCUCUCUGCUAAUGGCCUGGGAAAGCAGUGGGAGACGGCCCAAGUGCUUGGGCCCCUGCACCCACAUAGGAAAUCUAGAAGAAGCUCCCGGCUCCUGGCUUCGGUGGAGCCCAGCCCUGGCUGAUGCGGUCAUUUGGGGAGUGAAUCAGCGGAUGGAAAGCCUUUCUCCCUGUCUGUCCCUCUCUCCGUCUCUAAUUCUGCCUCCCAAUCAAGUAAAUAAAAUCUUAAAAAAAAAAAAAAAGGCAGCAGAGUAGUAGGGACUGAAACCAGCACUCCGAUACGAGACGCCGGCAUUGUGAGUGGUGGCUCAACCCACUGUGCCACGCCGGCCCUGGCCCGUGCUCUGCUCAGGAGCCAGCUGGUAGCUCCUUGCCGGUUGGUGCCUUGGUUCAGAAGCCAGCAGGGGACAUGCCCUGUGAUGACACGGGAGUGGGGCUGGUGCUCCCUGUCCCCGGCCCCACCCAGGACAUUAUCAGCACAUACGCACCGCUCCGACCCGGGCAGCUGGAGGGACUGCCCGAGGACAGCCCGCAGAGGGCUGGGUGUGGAGGCCACAGCGGGGCUGUGACGGAGUUCUUUCCCAAAGCGCCCGAGCCUGCUGGCGGGGCCCCGGCGCACCCACGUCAGAGGCUGUCCCUUCUGAGUGCGCCUGUGCCUUUGAACAGGGCGGGGGAGCAGGCAGCCGGCGGGCAGGUGUGGACGUGCGUCAUGGAGUGGGAGCGGGAAGGGGCCGCAGGCCUCAGCUGAUGAUCCUGUCAGACCUCAUGCCCGGGGCCACAGACCCACAUCAAAGGCCACUGCCCAGGUGCUUUUGAGCCGGGCCAGGAGGAGCCGCAGCGGGAGGCAGGUGCAGAUGGACGUGUGCGGGAGGGCAGAGCUCAAGGGCGGCGCUGGCAGGGCCAGGGUCUUGAGCUGGUGAUGGCGGAGGCCUUGAGCAGAGAGGGGCGGCUGUGCGUCUGGACCAGGGCAGGGGAGCUGGGGAGAAGGUGCUGGGUUACACCGCUCCCUUGCGCGCGGCCUCUCGUGGAGGCCCCUCAGUCCCGUUGUGCCGGAUUCAGGGGGCCGGGGGCGGGGGCCGCUCCUCAAGGGCUCUGAGGACCUGUGCACCGUGGGGCAGUGGGAGCCUGGCCAGGCCCCGGCUCUGCUCGCCCCGCUGCCCUGCGCUCUACCCACCAUGCUGACCUCAUCUGGGCCCCUGCUCCCCCAGUUCAGGGUCCUCCUGGCCUCCUUGCUGCUGCCCCAGCGAAGCCCUCGACCGUCCCUCGGCUUCUCCCAGCUCCUGGGGCCCAGGCGUUGGCAGGCUGAUCCGCAGGGGCGAUGCCUUCCCCGCUCUGUGGAUUGUCACGUUGUCCAGCCUUUCUCCAUUUACAGCAUGCAGUAGGUGCCUAAUAAAUGUGUUUGAAAGAGUGGUGGUGUCUUCGUCCUUGAUGUCUUCUCAUCAGGGCCCAGCUCUGUUUGGCGCCUCCUAGAAAGCCGGUGCUCAGGCCGUCCACCCUCCUGGCUCAGCCUAGCGACCUCCCUGGGUAGCCUGGAGCCCCACCCACUCCAGAUGAGCUCUGACUUCAGAGCGCCUGUCUCCCCACUGAGCUAAACCCCAACGGGGCAGAGGCGACACACAUGCUUAAGGAUCUCACAUGCUGAUCCAGGAGGCAUUCUGGUAUUGGAUGGAUGGGUAGAUGGAUGAAGGGGUGGAUGGAUGAUGGAUGAUGGAUGGAUGAUGGAUGAUGGAUGGGUGGGUGGAUGGAUGGAUGAUGGAUGGAUAGAUAGAUACAACAAAAAUGAUCCAAGGUGUGAAGAAAGAUGAGAGGUGUCCCAAAAGCAGGAGUGGCCUCCAGAUGACCUGUGUGUGUGAGGGCCAAGUGGGAGGCCCUGGGCCGGCCAGGAGGAGGUGGGCUGAGGGCCUCCCUGUGGCCAUGCUGACUGCAGAAGCAAGGACAAGGCCCUGACCAUUAGAGCAAAUGCAUUCUCGGAAAUAGCAAGAGGAGGGCUUUCACCCCCAGCAAGGGCCCCCCCAGAGCAGACGGGGUCCCCUGAAAUCCGUUUAUGUUCUGUGGCAGUGGCCUCUCCGUGGGCUGAGGAAGGAGGCCAGGACGCCGUCACCAGCCCCGUCUUACCGUGAACCAGACAUCGGCCAGUCCGUGCUGAGGGGCCUUGCACUAAGUGCCCGUCCAGGACUCCUGAAAGCGAGAACAAGGAGAAUGGAGGAACCACCCCGCCAAGAGGAGCCGGGGACACGUGGCGGCUGGGUGCCGUGUGGGGUGCCGUGUGGGUCCUGCACCAGGGCCAGGGCCUUAGGAGAAACCGUGAGGUCUGGGGCACACGUGGAGUCCAGCAGGCUGGUAUUCAUUCGUUAGCUGUGACCAUCUGCAGUGCAACGGGGGAGAGGCACAUGGAAGCCAGGCUUACGUUUUACGGUCAGAAAACGUACGUGUGUCGGUACGGCACAUGUGCUCCCGCCCUGGUGCACCAGCAUUGGGGCAGGAAGACUAAACAGAUGAGGGCACCCACCUUCCCGGUGGAGACACUGUGGCAGGUCUGCAUGUGGCCUGUGGAGCAGGACAGGAGCCGGGGUCGCUUGUGGGCCAUGGCAAGGCACAGACGGAGGCCCCUCUGUGCACAUGGUGGGGACCCUCGGGCACAGGGGUCGGGGAACGCAGCCACGUGUGCACGUACACCCAGUUCUGUAUUCCCGUGCACGGAUGCGUGGUGGGGUCUGUGGGCACAGGCAGGACUUGCCUGCAGUGAGCGCACGUCUAGUGCGUACACGUGUGUGGCGUCUCAGCUCACAUUUGCGUGCGUGCACACGUGUGCUCCCUGCACACGCAAUGGGCUCCCUGUGACUACACCUGUGACGAGUGCAGAGGUCCCCUUGCAAGGUGAGACAAGAGUCUCUUAUGUGGGGGAAGACACGGGUUGAGAGGGGACAGCAGGGCUGGCUGGGCCCGCAGGGGCACAAAGAGCCGUGUCCAGGACGCACCCGAGGCUGUGGCUGGAACCAGGAUGCAUAGAGGGCAAGUACAAGAGGAGGAGUGUGAUGGGGGUGGCCUGGGGGCUGCUGCGUGCCCCUUUCUGGCGCACUGGGGGCGCCGUAGGGGAGGUCCAGGCCUCCUAACGGAAAACCGUGAGUUCAGCUGUGGCCAUUCCAGCAGCCAGAGGCCUGUGUGGGCCCAGCCGUGCUGGCUGCUGGCAGCAGCUCACGAGUUGGAGAACACCCAGAGCACGCUUGGCAGAAGGAGGUCGGGGGAGGCCCUGUCCCCCCCACACUUCCCAGAAGUUCACUCUCUCCAGGGGCAAGGUGUUCCAUAACCCGGGCUGGAUCGGGGCUGAGGCCCGUGUGCCAGGCGCGCUCUGGCAGCCACCUGUGAAGCUGGCCCGGCUGUUCCUUCACACCUAGGUGGGAUGUCUGGGUCUGUGGCCGCUGGGGCCGGGAGCGUCCAGGCCCUGCCACCACGGGCCAGAGUGGCUGCGGAAGUGGGGAGGAGGUGGUGCGAGUGAGGGCAGGGGUCCACAAAGGUCAGGCCGGGGAGGAGGGCGAGACACAGGGGUCCCCAGGGCCAUCGGCAGCUCCCGGUGACGGCAGCAGUCCCUUCCUGCUGGCCCCCCCUGCUCGCCAGGACCCACGGGAGGGUAAGGUGGACGUGGGCCUGUCCUGGUGGAUCAUGGACUUCGGGCCUCAGAUGGUCCCUAACCUGUGGAACUUCGGGGGCUUGGCAGGGAGGCACAGGGAAGGCUUUCUGGAGGAGGGGAAAUGAACAGCAGGUCACAGGUGUCGAGGCAGCAGGGCGGUGAGUCCAUGGUGGGAGCCCGGCCCGACCCUGUGCCAGGCCCCUUGCUGGCUGGGGCCCCUCCAAGAGGAGGGCAAAAUGCGUUGUGUGGCCACCCGCCCCGCUGCCCAAACCCUAGAAACCAGGUGAUGCUGCGGGCUGGUCUCCCUGGGUUGACCAGUUAGUCGUCCUCUGCCACAGCCACCAGGCGCCCGUUCUGCACGGGUGACUCCCGAGAAUUAAUGUUCAUUUGAUUUUUCCUGUAAAUUGUAGCUCACAUGAUUUCUCCAUCACAGGCGAGGAAGGCUUGGGAGAGGCCGGAGGGGCUCCCAGGUGGGGAGUGCUGAGCCAUCACUUCUCCUCCGCGCAGCCGCCAUCGGCAGGUGUCUUGAUGGACAAGGCCCCCCGCGCCACUUCUGGGAGAGUGGGGGGCAGGCAGAGCUUGCGUUCGGGUCCCCCUUGAACAGGUACGGAAACGGAGGCGCAGCAAGUCCAGGAAGUUCCCAAAGCUCACACCCUGCACGUACCGCAGUGACCCUGCCCCUGACGGUGACCCUGAAAACCAAAGGAAGCCAAACUUCCAGGCUUCGUCUGUCCGUCCAGACCUCCAGGUCACACAGCACUGUGGCCCAGUGCUUCCCUCUGAGCGGUUGUCACGUGGGGCAAUUUUGGUGACCCCCCCAAGGGAGAGUUCCGGUUGUCACACCUGGGGGCUGGGUCCCCCCUAGCUGGAGUGGCUGAGCCGGGCUCAGUAAAGCAGCGAGGGUACAUACACAGGCACCGAAAUAUCUGCACUUGUUUAUUGGGGUGAAACGGAUUCGGGAAAUUUUUUAUUUUUCUUUCUUAUGUUUUUCUGUGCUGUUUGAAUUUUUUAAAGAAAAAAUGUGCAUGCAUCAUUUUUAUAAUCAGAGAGAGAAGAGCUGUUUUCAUUGUGUAAAAAUAAAAAAGGCCUGAGGACUUA
This is a non-coding RNA of Oryctolagus cuniculus (rabbit), 5893 nucleotides long. NCBI's taxonomy places the organism in Eukaryota, Metazoa, Chordata, Mammalia, Lagomorpha, Leporidae. The record is from RefSeq and is a predicted model, not a curated record.